Molecule: non-coding RNA, 76 nt
Filed under: Ureibacillus endophyticus
Lineage: Bacteria; Bacillati; Bacillota; Bacilli; Caryophanales; Caryophanaceae
Description: Cyclic di-GMP-II riboswitch
Rfam family: Cyclic di-GMP-II riboswitch aptamer (bases 6-71)
Source: RNAcentral
UUUUAGGGGGCUAUGAGGCAUAGUCUGUAUAUGGACACUUGGACUAUGUGGAGCUAGUAGUGUAACCGACCCUCUU